Molecule: ribosomal RNA, 440 nt
Filed under: uncultured eukaryote
Lineage: Eukaryota
Description: SSU rRNA
Rfam family: Eukaryotic small subunit ribosomal RNA
Source: RNAcentral
GUUAAAAAGCUCGUAGUUGGAUCUCGGCGGGCAGGGGGUGGUUCGCUCUUCAGCGCUACUGCCCCGCUUUGCCCGUGUGAUUGGCGGAGGUUUCGGGGUGCUCUUCGUUGAGUGACUCGGAGCGCCGUCAGGUUUACUUUGAAAAAAUUAGAGUGCUCAAAGCAGGCUUUUCACGCUUGAAUAUUCGUGCAUGGAAUAAUGGAAUAGGAACUCGUUUCUAUUUUGUUGGUUUUCGGAAAUCGAGUUAAUGAUUAACAGGGACAAUUGGGGGCAUUAGUAUUCAGACGACAGAGGUGAAAUUCUUGGACCGUCUGAAGACUGACUACUGCGAAAGCAUUUGCCAAGAGUGUUUUCAUUAAUCAAGAACGAAAGUUAGAGGUUCGAAGGCGAUCAGAUACCGCCCUAGUUCUAACCAUAAACGAUGCCAGCUAGCGAUCUGU